CUCUCUGGGUCACCAGCAGUUCUUGAUUCAUCCAGCCACGUCUGUCUGCCCCUCUCCCCCGCCAAUGGGACUCAUUCGGGGGGAAGGGGGGCAGACAGACGUGGCUGGGUGAACCAAGAACUGCUGGUGCCCCUGAAGAAGAAACGAACAUUUCCUCUCCGGGCCACCAGCAGCUCUUGGUUGAGCUGCUGGCGCCCCGGAGAACAGGUCACCAGCAGCCAAGAGCUGUUGGUGACCCAGAGAGGAAAUAGAACCGUCGGUGGUCUAAUCUGUCUAAUGUCCUUCACCAGAUAGCCUCGAAUCCAACCCAAGCACUAGGCAACAGUGGCGCUUCUAUGGCUUUCUGACUGGCUACCUAACCUCCAUCUCUGGGCACCGCUGUGGAGUCUUCCAGAAUCUCACAAUCCAGGAGGUUGAAGAGGCCUCCAGAAGCCCCGACGAGUCUGCUUAUGUCAUUAACGCAAAGAAUGCACACUCUUCAGAGGAUCGCCGCAAGGUGGCGCAAUUCAUGUGCCAUGACACUUCAACCUCAGAUAAGUUCUACGCACUUCACCUCGGACCUCUCCAAGCACGCGAGCGC
Molecule: non-coding RNA, 580 nt
Organism: Danio rerio (zebrafish)
Lineage: Eukaryota; Metazoa; Chordata; Actinopteri; Cypriniformes; Danionidae
Source: RefSeq, a predicted model, not a curated record